CCAGAGGAUCCCAACUAGAGGGUUUGCAACAAAACCAAAGCAAAUCUGCAUGCCAGAAUGCAAAGUAGAACACCCUAAUAUGGGUCAGUACAUCCACCACCUCAUGGCAGAGCUGGAGCUCUCACUGCUUUAAGAUCUGGAUGAAGAUGUGGGAUAACAAUAGCUUCGAUGUCACUGCUGAGCUGUCUUCUACUGCCAGAAGACCAGAGAAAUGUGUUCUCAUCGCCCAGGAACUGACUUUUGUUGAAGAUUCCUAAGCUUUAAUUGAUACAUUUGCUACCAAGAAAUUGCAAUACUAAAGGAAGAUUUUAUUUGUGCCAAUAUUUUUGACACAAAAAAUACUAAUAGCCACUAUAUUUAUAUCAGUUUACUGAUUCUGCAGAAACUUAAACUUUCUGCUCAACUUUAUCAGUGAUCAUGGAUUAGAAGCAAACAUUAUUAUCUAAGGGUUGUACUUGAAGAAUAUCAAGAUAUGGUGACAAGCUCUCUUCUGGAGAAGAAACAGCAAUAUAA
This is a long non-coding RNA of Pyrgilauda ruficollis (rufous-necked snowfinch), 513 nucleotides long. RefSeq lists it as uncharacterized. The record is from RefSeq and is a predicted model, not a curated record. The transcript has 3 exons. Lineage: Eukaryota; Metazoa; Chordata; Aves; Passeriformes; Passeridae.